UACGGAGGGGGCUAGCGUUUUUCGGAAUUACUGGGCGUAAAGCGCACGUAGGCGGACUGUUAAGUCGGGGGUGAAAUCCCGGGGCUCAACCCCGGAAUGGCCUUCGAUACUGGCGGUCUUGUGGUCUGGAGAGGUGAGUGGAAUUCCGAGUGUAGAGGUGAAAUUCGUAGAUAUUCGUAGGAACACCAGUGGCGAAGUCGGCUCACUGGCCAGAUACUGACGCUGAGGUGCGAAAGCGUGGGGAGCAAACAGG
Molecule: ribosomal RNA, 253 nt
Filed under: uncultured bacterium
Lineage: Bacteria
Description: partial 16S ribosomal RNA
Rfam family: Bacterial small subunit ribosomal RNA
Source: RNAcentral